AUUGAACGCUGGCGGAAUGCUUUACACAUGCAAGUCGAACGGCAGCACGGGGCAACCUGGUGGCGAGUGGCGAACGGGUGAGUAAUACAUCGGAACGUGCCCAAUCGUGGGGGAUAACGUAGCGAAAGUUACGCUAAUACCGCAUACGAUCUACGGAUGAAAGCGGGGGAUCGCAAGACCUCGCGCGAAUGGAGCGGCCGAUGUCAGAUUAGGUAGUUGGUGGGGUAAAGGCUCACCAAGCCGACGAUCUGUAGCUGGUCUGAGAGGACGACCAGCCACACUGGGACUGAGACACGGCCCAGACUCCUACGGGAGGCAGCAGUGGGGAAUUUUGGACAAUGGGCGCAAGCCUGAUCCAGCCAUUCCGCGUGCAGGAUGAAGCCU
RNAcentral lists this ribosomal RNA (384 nucleotides) under uncultured bacterium. RNAcentral's name for it is "bacterial SSU rRNA". It matches the Rfam family "Bacterial small subunit ribosomal RNA", at positions 30 to 416 of the family's 1533-position model. The record is from RNAcentral.